GCUUAGCUCAGCGGUAGAGCAACGGUUUUGUAAACCGUCGGUCGUCGGUUCGAUUCCGACAG
This 62-nucleotide transfer RNA is filed under the name marine eukaryotic metagenome. It matches the Rfam family "tRNA", at positions 6 to 65 of the family's 71-position model. From Rfam's summary of the family: Transfer RNA (tRNA) molecules are approximately 80 nucleotides in length. Their secondary structure includes four short double-helical elements and three loops (D, anti-codon, and T loops). Further hydrogen bonds mediate the characteristic L-shaped molecular structure. tRNAs have two regions of fundamental functional importance: the anti-codon, which is responsible for specific mRNA codon recognition, and the 3' end, to which the tRNAs corresponding amino acid is attached (by aminoacyl-tRNA synthetases). tRNAs cope with the degeneracy of the genetic code in two manners: having more than one tRNA (with a specific anti-codon) for a particular amino acid; and 'wobble' base-pairing, i.e. permitting non-standard base-pairing at the 3rd anti-codon position. The record is from RNAcentral.